AGCGAACGCUGGCGGCAGGCCUAAUACAUGCAAGUCGAACGAAGCCUUCGGGCUUAGUGGCGGACGGGUGAGUAACACGUGGGAACGUACCCUUUGGUUCGGAACAACUCAGGGAAACUUGAGCUAAUACCGAAUGUGCCCCCAUCCUUAACAAGAUGGGUGGGAAAGAUUUAUCGCCAUUGGAGCGGCCCGCGUCUGAUUAGCUAGUUGGUGAGGUAAAGGCCCACCAAGGCUACGAUCAGUAGCUGGUCUGAGAGGAUGAUCAGCCACACUGGGACUGAGACACGGCCCAGACUCCUACGGGAGCAGCAGUAGGGAUCUGCGCAAUGGGCAAAGCCUG
RNAcentral lists this ribosomal RNA (340 nucleotides) under uncultured bacterium. RNAcentral describes it as "bacterial SSU rRNA". It matches the Rfam family "Bacterial small subunit ribosomal RNA", at positions 29 to 385 of the family's 1533-position model. The record is from RNAcentral.